Molecule: ribosomal RNA, 2904 nt
Filed under: Escherichia coli
Lineage: Bacteria; Pseudomonadati; Pseudomonadota; Gammaproteobacteria; Enterobacterales; Enterobacteriaceae
Description: 23S ribosomal RNA
Rfam family: Bacterial large subunit ribosomal RNA
Source: RNAcentral
GGUUAAGCGACUAAGCGUACACGGUGGAUGCCCUGGCAGUCAGAGGCGAUGAAGGACGUGCUAAUCUGCGAUAAGCGUCGGUGAGGUGAUAUGAACCGUUAUAACCGGCGAUUUCCGAAUGGGGAAACCCAGUGUGUUUCGACACACUAUCAUUAACUGAAUCCAUAGGUUAAUGAGGCGAACCGGGGGAACUGAAACAUCUAAGUACCCCGAGGAAAAGAAAUCAACCGAGAUUCCCCCAGUAGCGGCGAGCGAACGGGGAGGAGCCCAGAGCCUGAAUCAGUGUGUGUGUUAGUGGAAGCGUCUGGAAAGGCGUGCGAUACAGGGUGACAGCCCCGUACACAAAAAUGCACAUAUUGUGAGCUCGAUGAGUAGGGCGGGACACGUGGUAUCCUGUCUGAAUAUGGGGGGACCAUCCUCCAAGGCUAAAUACUCCUGACUGACCGAUAGUGAACCAGUACCGUGAGGGAAAGGCGAAAAGAACCCCGGCGAGGGGAGUGAAAAAGAACCUGAAACCGUGUACGUACAAGCAGUGGGAGCCUCUUAAUGGGGUGACUGCGUACCUUUUGUAUAAUGGGUCAGCGACUUAUAUUCUGUAGCAAGGUUAACCGAAUAGGGGAGCCGAAGGGAAACCGAGUCUUAACUGGGCGUUAAGUUGCAGGGUAUAGACCCGAAACCCGGUGAUCUAGCCAUGGGCAGGUUGAAGGUUGGGUAACACUAACUGGAGGACCGAACCGACUAAUGUUGAAAAAUUAGCGGAUGACUUGUGGCUGGGGGUGAAAGGCCAAUCAAACCGGGAGAUAGCUGGUUCUCCCCGAAAGCUAUUUAGGUAGCGCCUCGUGAAUUCAUCUCCGGGGGUAGAGCACUGUUUCGGCAAGGGGGUCAUCCCGACUUACCAACCCGAUGCAAACUGCGAAUACCGGAGAAUGUUAUCACGGGAGACACACGGCGGGUGCUAACGUCCGUCGUGAAGAGGGAAACAACCCAGACCGCCAGCUAAGGUCCCAAAGUCAUGGUUAAGUGGGAAACGAUGUGGGAAGGCCCAGACAGCCAGGAUGUUGGCUUAGAAGCAGCCAUCAUUUAAAGAAAGCGUAAUAGCUCACUGGUCGAGUCGGCCUGCGCGGAAGAUGUAACGGGGCUAAACCAUGCACCGAAGCUGCGGCAGCGACACUAUGUGUUGUUGGGUAGGGGAGCGUUCUGUAAGCCUGUGAAGGUGGCCUGUGAGGGUUGCUGGAGGUAUCAGAAGUGCGAAUGCUGACAUAAGUAACGAUAAAGCGGGUGAAAAGCCCGCUCGCCGGAAGACCAAGGGUUCCUGUCCAACGUUAAUCGGGGCAGGGUGAGUCGACCCCUAAGGCGAGGCCGAAAGGCGUAGUCGAUGGGAAACAGGUUAAUAUUCCUGUACUUGGUGUUACUGCGAAGGGGGGACGGAGAAGGCUAUGUUGGCCGGGCGACGGUUGUCCCGGUUUAAGCGUGUAGGCUGGUUUUCCAGGCAAAUCCGGAAAACCAAGGCUGAGGCGUGAUGACGAGGCACUACGGUGCUGAAGCGACAAAUGCCCUGCUUCCAGGAAAAGCCUCUAAGCAUCAGGUAACAUCAAAUCGUACCCAAAACCGACACAGGUGGUCAGGUAGAGAAUACCAAGGCGCUUGAGAGAACUCGGGUGAAGGAACUAGGCAAAAUGGUGCCGUAACUUCGGGAGAAGGCACGCUGAUAUGUAGGUGAAGCGACUUGCUCGUGGAGCUGAAAUCAGUCGAAGAUACCAGCUGGCUGCAACUGUUUAUUAAAAACACAGCACUGUGCAAACACGAAAGUGGACGUAUACGGUGUGACGCCUGCCCGGUGCCGGAAGGUUAAUUGAUGGGGUUAGCGGUAACGCGAAGCUCUUGAUCGAAGCCCCGGUAAACGGCGGCCGUAACUAUAACGGUCCUAAGGUAGCGAAAUUCCUUGUCGGGUAAGUUCCGACCUGCACGAAUGGCGUAAUGAUGGCCAGGCUGUCUCCACCCGAGACUCAGUGAAAUUGAACUCGCUGUGAAGAUGCAGUGUACCCGCGGCAAGACGGAAAGACCCCGUGAACCUUUACUAUAGCUUGACACUGAACAUUGAGCCUUGAUGUGUAGGAUAGGUGGGAGGCUUUGAAGUGUGGACGCCAGUCUGCAUGGAGCCGACCUUGAAAUACCACCCUUUAAUGUUUGAUGUUCUAACGUUGGCCCGUAAUCCGGGUUGCGGACAGUGUCUGGUGGGUAGUUUGACUGGGGCGGUUUCCUCCUAAAGAGUAACGGAGGAGCACGAAGGUUGGCUAAUCCUGGUCGGACAUCAGGAGGUUAGUGCAAUGGCAUAAGCCAGCUUGACUGCGAGCGUGACGGCGCGAGCAGGUGCGAAAGCAGGUCAUAGUGAUCCGGUGGUUCUGAAUGGAAGGGCCAUCGCUCAACGGAUAAAAGGUACUCCGGGGAUAACAGGCUGAUACCGCCCAAGAGUUCAUAUCGACGGCGGUGUUUGGCACCUCGAUGUCGGCUCAUCACAUCCUGGGGCUGAAGUAGGUCCCAAGGGUAUGGCUGUUCGCCAUUUAAAGUGGUACGCGAGCUGGGUUUAGAACGUCGUGAGACAGUUCGGUCCCUAUCUGCCGUGGGCGCUGGAGAACUGAGGGGGGCUGCUCCUAGUACGAGAGGACCGGAGUGGACGCAUCACUGGUGUUCGGGUUGUCAUGCCAAUGGCACUGCCCGGUAGCUAAAUGCGGAAGAGAUAAGUGCUGAAAGCAUCUAAGCACGAAACUUGCCCCGAGAUGAGUUCUCCCUGACUCCUUGAGGGUCCUGAAGGAACGUUGAAGACGACGACGUUGAUAGGCCGGGUGUGUAAGCGCAGCGAUGCGUUGAGCUAACCGGUACUAAUGAACCGUGAGGCUUAACCUU